UUGAUGUAAAACAGAGUUUGGAGUAACUGAUAAAGUUAUUGUGAUGCGAUUCAAUACAAUGCACCCUUAUGAUAAAGUCCUUUUCUAGAUGCUAUCCAUAGAGAAUUCAAAAAUAUGAAGAUGUAGAUACACAAAAAAAAAAAUAAAAAAAAAUCGACAUCUAAGAUAAAUAAAUAAGAUAAUAAUUUUAAAUUUAUACAUACAAUAUAAUUUUUUGUCCAAAAAAAAUUUAUUCAAAUUCUUGUCCCAAUACCUAGCUCCGCCCCGGAAUGUAACUGCGUAUAAUUUUUUUAUUUUUUUUUACCUAACUUACUGAAGUCCCUCAAUAGUUUGGUCUUUGUAACCUGCUAAGACAGUCAAAAUAUCACUGCUGCAAAAUAAGUGGAUGGUCAAAAUAAAUUAUUUAGGAGAAAGGAACUUCAUAUUCUUAAGUGGAUGGUCGCAGAUCAGCAAAUUUGCUUCAAGAUUGUACUCUUUCAUUUUCCCAAAAAAUUGACACAUCAGUUCGUCUCCCUCUAAUAUGCUUGAUGGUGUCCUACUAGCUUUCACUAGGUAUACAAUACUUCAAACAUUUUCCUUUUUUAAAAUAAUUUGCAAUUUGUCUACGUAUGAUUUUAUUAUUUUGUGUUAUUGUUUGUACUACUAGUGGUAGUGUUACAUAUGUUAUUUUGGGUAAAUUGAUUGUAGUAUUAUUUUGUGGUAACUUUAUUUCUGUUACUAUCUAUUAUUGUGUUACCAACAUUGCUUCUUACUCUCCUAUUACGUCUUUUUUUAAACUGUUUUUAUCUCACGUCGAGGGUCUACUAGAGGCAACUGUUGGGAAACAAUAAUAAAUCUCACUAACACUUGUGACACAGUGUAACAUAUAAAAUACUUGAGUCGUGCUAGGCACUAUCCUAAGAAAGUAUUUUCGCAAUAUGAAAUGUUUCCCCAGGAUUAAACGAGUACUUCCCUGAUUAAUUAGAGGAUAUUCAAGAAUUAUAAGUCUUUCCCAAUUAAUCAGAUGAUACAGGAAUCAACAAAAUUAAUUAUAAACCAACAAGUUUAAACUUAGAAAUGAAAUAAUAAAAUUAUUAUAAGAUAAAGGCAAAAUGAGACAAGAUUAGAAAAGUUAGUAGAGAAGGGAAGGAGAUUAGGAGAAUAUAUGUUUUUUUUUUUUUUU
Molecule: long non-coding RNA, 1162 nt
Filed under: Capsicum annuum
Lineage: Eukaryota; Viridiplantae; Streptophyta; Magnoliopsida; Solanales; Solanaceae
Description: long non-coding RNA (CANN_LNC014645)
Source: RNAcentral